RNAcentral lists this ribosomal RNA (301 nucleotides) under uncultured bacterium. RNAcentral's name for it is "partial 16S ribosomal RNA". It matches the Rfam family "Bacterial small subunit ribosomal RNA", at positions 509 to 807 of the family's 1533-position model. The record is from RNAcentral.
CAGUAGCCGCGGGAAUACGUAGGUGGCAAGCGUUGUCCGGAAUUAUUGGGCGUAAAGGGCUCGCAGGCGGUUUCUUAAGUCUGAUGUGAAAGCCCCCGGCUCAACCGGGGAGGGUCAUCGGAAACUGGGAAACUUGAGUGCGGAAGAGGAGAGUGGAAUUCCACGUGUAGCGGUGAAAUGCGUAGAGAUGUGGAGGAACACCAGUGGCGAAGGCGACUCUCUGGUCUGUAACUGACGCUGAGGAGCGAAAGCGUGGGGAGCGAACAGGAUUAGAUACCCCUGUAGUCCCUGUCUCUUAUAC